Molecule: ribosomal RNA, 497 nt
Filed under: uncultured bacterium
Lineage: Bacteria
Description: partial 16S ribosomal RNA
Rfam family: Bacterial small subunit ribosomal RNA
Source: RNAcentral
GAUGAACGCUGGCGGCGUGCCUAAUACAUGCAAGUCGAGCGAACAGACCAGGAGCUUGCUCCUCCGACGUUAGCGGCGGACGGGUGAGUAACACGUGGAUAACCUACCUCUAAGACUGGUAUAACUUCGCGGAACCAGAGCUAAUACCAGAUAAUAUAUUGAACCGCAUGGUUCCAUCGUGAGAUUCGGUUUUGCUUUCGCUUAUGGAUGGAUCCGCGCCGGAUUAGCUAGUUGGUAAGGUGAAGGCUUAGCAACGCUACGAUGCGUAGACGACCUCAGGGGGUCGUCGCACAGCCGGGAAGUGAGGCACGUUCGAGACACCGACGGGGGGCCGCAGUAGGGAAUCUUACGCGAGGGGCGAAUGCGUGACGGAGCAAAGUCGGGUGAGGGAUGAAGGACUUCUGCUGGGAAAGCGAUGUAAUUAGUGAAGUACUAAUGUGUUUGUACCCGGGAACGUAAUGACGGUACCGAAAGAGAAAGCCCCGGCUAACUACGUG